CAGGCCUAACACAUGCAAGUCGGACGGUAGCACAGAGGAGCUUGCUCCUUGGGUGACGAGUGGCGGACGGGUGAGUAAUGUCUGGGGAUCUGCCCGAUAGAGGGGGAUAACCACUGGAAACGGUGGCUAAUACCGCAUAACGUCGCAAGACCAAAGAGGGGGACCUUCGGGCCUCUCACUAUCGGAUGAACCCAGAUGGGAUUAGCUAGUAGGCGGGGUAAUGGCCCACCUAGGCGACGAUCCCUAGCUGGUCUGAGAGGAUGACCAGCCACACUGGAACUGAGACACGGUCCAGACUCCUACGGGAGGCAGCAGUGGGGAAUAUUGCACAAUGGGCGCAAGCCUGAUGCAGCCAUGCCGCGUGUAUGAAGAAGGCCUUCGGGUUGUAAAGUACUUUCA
This 399-nucleotide ribosomal RNA is filed under the name uncultured bacterium. RNAcentral's name for it is "bacterial SSU rRNA". It matches the Rfam family "Bacterial small subunit ribosomal RNA", at positions 43 to 438 of the family's 1533-position model. The record is from RNAcentral.